Molecule: ribosomal RNA, 253 nt
Filed under: uncultured bacterium
Lineage: Bacteria
Description: partial 16S ribosomal RNA
Rfam family: Bacterial small subunit ribosomal RNA
Source: RNAcentral
UACGUAGGCAGCGAGCGUUGUUCGGAGUUACUGGGCGUAAAGGGUGUGUAGGCGGUUUUCUAAGUUUGGUGUGAAAUCUCCCGGCUCAACCGGGAGGGUGCGCCGAAAACUGGGAGACUAGAGUGCGGGAUGGGAGAGUAGAAUUCCUGGUGUAGCGGUGAAAUGCGCAGAUAUCAGGAGGAACACCGGUGGCGAAGGCGGGUCUCUGGGCCGAAACUGACGCUGAGGAGCGAAAGCGUGGGGAGCGAACAGG